CCGCACGCGCGCUACACUGAUCAAGUCAACGAGUUUACUACCUUGGCCGGAAGGUCUGGGUAAUCUUUUGAAACUUGAUCGUGCUGGGGAUAGUCCAUUGCAAUUAUUGGACUUCAACGAGGAAUUCCUAUUAAGCGUGAGUCAUCAGCUCGCGUAGAUUACGU
Molecule: ribosomal RNA, 164 nt
Filed under: uncultured eukaryote
Lineage: Eukaryota
Description: partial 18S rRNA
Rfam family: Eukaryotic small subunit ribosomal RNA
Source: RNAcentral